UAUGAACGCUGGCGGCGUGCCUAAUACAUGCAAGUCGAGCGAACGGACGAGAAGCUUGCUUCUCUGAUGUUAGCGGCGGACGGGUGAGUAACACGUGGAUAACCUACCUAUAAGACUGGGAUAACUUCGGGAAACCGGAGCUAAUACCGGAUAAUAUUUUGAACCGCAUGGUUCAAAAGUGAAAGACGGUCUUGCUGUCACUUAUAGAUGGAUCCGCGCUGCAUUAGCUAGUUGGUAAGGUAACGGCUUACCAAGGCAACGAUGCGUAGCCGACCUGAGAGGGUGAUCGGCCACACUGGAACUGAGACACGGUCCAGACUCCUACGGGAGGCAGCAGUAGGGAAUCUUCCGCAAUGGGCGAAAGCCUGACGAAGCAACGCCGCGUGAGUGAUGAAGGUCUUCGGAUCGUAAAACUCUGUUAUUAGGGAAGAACAAAUGUGUAAGUAACUAUGCACGUCUUGACGGUACCUAAUCAGAAAGCCACGGCUAACUACGUGCCAGCAGCCGCGGUAAUACGUAGGUGGCAAGCGUUAUCCGGAAUUAUUGGGCGUAAAGCGCGCGUAGGCGGUUUUUUAAGUCUGAUGUGAAAGCCCACGGCUCAACCGUGGAGGGUCAUUGGAAACUGUAAAACUUGAGUGCAGAAGAGGAAAGUGGAAUUCCAUGUGUAGCGGUGAAAUGCGCAGAGAUAUGGAGGAACACCAGUGGCGAAGGCGACUUUCUGGUCUGUAACUGACGCUGAUGUGCGAAAGCGUGGGGAUCAAACAGGAUUAGAUACCCUGGUAGUCCACGCCGUAAACGAUGAGUGCUAAGUGUUAGGGGGUUUCCGCCCCUUAGUGCUGCAGCUAACGCAUUAAGCACUCCGCCUGGGGAGUACGACCGCAAGGUUGAAACUCAAAGGAAUUGACGGGGACCCGCACAAGCGGUGGAGCAUGUGGUUUAAUUCGAAGCAACGCGAAGAACCUUACCAAAUCUUGACAUCCUCUGACCCCUCUAGAGAUAGAGUUUUCCCCUUCGGGGGACAGAGUGACAGGUGGUGCAUGGUUGUCGUCAACUCGUGUCGUGAGAUGUUGGGUUAAGUCCCGCAACGAGCGCAACCCUUAAGCUUAGUUGCCAUCAUUAAGUUGGGCACUCUAAGUUGACUGCCGGUGACAAACCGGAGGAAGGUGGGGAUGACGUCAAAUCAUCAUGCCCCUUAUGAUUUGGGCUACACACGUGCUACAAUGGACAAUACAAAGGGUAGCGAAACCGCGAGGUCAAGCAAAUCCCAUAAAGUUGUUCUCAGUUCGGAUUGUAGUCUGCAACUCGACUAUAUGAAGCUGGAAUCGCUAGUAAUCGUAGAUCAGCAUGCUACGGUGAAUACGUUCCCGGGUCU
RNAcentral lists this ribosomal RNA (1372 nucleotides) under uncultured bacterium. RNAcentral describes it as "bacterial SSU rRNA". It matches the Rfam family "Bacterial small subunit ribosomal RNA", at positions 28 to 1381 of the family's 1533-position model. The record is from RNAcentral.